Molecule: long non-coding RNA, 1814 nt
Filed under: Ananas comosus (pineapple)
Lineage: Eukaryota; Viridiplantae; Streptophyta; Magnoliopsida; Poales; Bromeliaceae
Description: long non-coding RNA (ACOM_LNC039219)
Source: RNAcentral
GGGUACAACUCUCAACCCCUCACAAAAGAAAACACGAGAGGUAGACCACCUAUCGAACGAUCCCUCGGUAAGCGCGCUAGCCCGAGGCGAUACCCUUUCCGCGAUCCCUGGCCUCACCCUGAGUGGAAGGCUCUGAAAACAUCGAGAAAAAGAGGGCGUGAGAACUAUAAGCUAUAGUUCCCAGUGGGCAAUUACUGACCUCAGCUCCUGCUCCACUAGGCCCCAAAAAUAAGGGUAAGCAACGAUAAUAAUAAUAAGCAAUAAAAAGGAGCAUGUAAUAAACUGCUGAAAGAGAGAGCAUAAGUAAAAUGCUAUACUACUAUAUCCCUCAUAAGCACAAUGUCAAACUGUUGUACAUCUACUCUAUCAUAAGGAAAAGCAACCAAUGGCAAUUGUUAACGGUUACAACCCUUUAUUCAUACAUGAUGUAUAAGCUCUAUCAUGGCAACCAAGCAUACUGUGAUGAAAUAGGUAACCGUCAAGUAUGCUACAUGUCCCAACACUAUGCUAAAAGCAUAUAAAUGUAACUCAACUACUAAACCUAUCUAGUAGUGAUUAUCCAUUCUCAACACCGUAUCGAUUUCCAUUUCCAAUUAAGGACCUACCAAAGGUAGUCCAGCUUGUGCCGCCUAAGUGCCUGUGGUAGCCCAACAUCCCUACUCUUGGAAUGUGUCUGUCCCACUCGACCCCGUAGGCUUCUCAAUAUCGCACGAGCGAUUAUAAGUCGCGUAGGCUAACUCCGGAGUGCCGGCUUGUAGGGAGCGACCCUCACAAGCAUGUGCGAAUGAGCACAAAUGGCAAACAAGCAAAGUCCAAGUCUCCAAAAUCCAAUCCUCAUGUCUCUAACAUGGUAUGGUCACUAGCAUCCCGAAGAUCUAGUUCAAGUCACAAGGUAAAGUUUCAACAUUUGCUACGCCUAGUGCCCCUUAAUGACACUUAGGCAAUUUAAUGUUCAACAUGUUUUUCAGAUCCCUCAAUGGCCCUAUCCACUAGGUUCACACGCGUCCCGAGCUCAAUGCCGCUUGAUGACAUUAGCUCUCUAAUUCACAUACCUUCUAAAUGGCAAUCUUGUCAAUUUUCAUGUCACAAGUAAAUGUAGGUUUACAUGCAUGAAUCCGAACUCAUUUAUACUAUAGAAGCAUGAUACUACGUCUCAUAUAGAAUGCUACAUGCAACUAUGGCCUAAUAAGCUACUCUCUACUACAUAGAGGUCCAAAAUUUCAUUAUAUAUAACGUAGGCCUUUUAAGCAUUCUAAAAUUCACAAUAAAUACGUAUAACAAGAAUAUGCAUGCUUUUUCAUUUAACAACACUUAAUUAAGCACAAAUGAGAAUUUCUCAUUGUGUGGCUAGGUCAAACCCACCGAACCGUCGCGUAGGGUCUCGUUUCGCCGAACAAAGUUGUCCCCGAGUCUCAAAAUACCCUAAAAGUAAUGAGCGACAAGAUACACGGGCAUUACGAUCAUCGCAUAAUAUCAAACAUUAACCUAGAAGCAAAAAGGGUCAAAAUUUACCUCAAGAGUAGAAAUCUCUCCCAAAGCUCCAAAAGAGAGCUAGAACCCUUCCAAUCCAAGCCCUAGGAAGGUUCCAAGCCAAUCGAUUUGGGUCCAAAAGCCCUAGAUCGAGAAUGCCCAAAAUAAGCCCUAAAUCUCAUUUCUAGGGUUUCAUCUACCAAAAAGCUCCAAAACUAAGAUCUAGAGGGAGGAACCUUGCCACAUACCUCUAGGAUGCUCCAAUCCAAGCUCAAAAUCUUCUAGGGUUGAAGAUUGAUCCACCACAAAGCUCCAAAAGCAAGCUCCAAGCCUCCAAAGGUGGG